RNAcentral lists this unclassified non-coding RNA (894 nucleotides) under Hevea brasiliensis (rubber tree). The record is from RNAcentral. Lineage: Eukaryota; Viridiplantae; Streptophyta; Magnoliopsida; Malpighiales; Euphorbiaceae.
CAAGUACCGAGUAUGAAGACCACAAAGGGAGAAUAGCAAUUGGACGUCUGCAUGCUGGGGUCUUGCAACGAGGCAUGGAUGUGAAGGUAUGCACACCAGAUGAAGUAUGCAGAUUUGGUAAGGUGACUGAGCUUUUUGUGUAUGAGAACUUCACAAGAGUUCCCGUUGAGGAAGUGCAGGCUGGUGAUAUUUGUGCGGUCUGUGGUUUCAGUGAUAUAAUGAUCGGGGAGACAAUAGCGGAUAAAAUUUCUGGAACAGCAUUGCCUUCAAUUAAAGUGGAAGAGCCAACAGUGAGAAUGUCUUUCUCUAUAAACACUGCACCAUUUGUUGGUCGAGAGGGGAAAUUUGUAACCAGUCGAAACCUUCGAGAGAGGCUUUAUAGAGAGAUUGAGAGGAAUUUAGCGAUGAAAGUUGAAGAUGGGGAAACAGCCGAUACAUUUAUUGUUAGUGGCAGGGGCACACUCCAUAUCACCAUUUUGAUAGAAAACAUGCGAAGAGAAGGAUUUGAGUUUAUGGUGGGGCCACCUAAGGUUAUAAUAAAAAAAGUCAACGACAAGUUGCUGGAGCCUUUUGAGAUUGCGACUGUCGAGGUCCCAGAAGAAUACAUGGGGCCUGUAGUUGAGCUUCUAGGAAGUAGACGUGGACAAAUGUUUGACAUGCAAGGAGCUGGGUCGGAGGGAACUUCAUUGCUUAAAUACAAAAUUCCAACUCGUGGACUUCUUGGACUGCGGAAUGCAAUACUGACCGCUUCUCGAGGCACAGCCGUACUCAACACAAUAUUUGAUAGUUACGGACCCUGGACUGGAGAUAUGAGCACGCGGGACCAGGGUUCUUUGGUUGCCUUUGAAGAUGGGACUACGACUUCAUACGCUCUUUUUAGUGCGCAAGAAAGAG